UACGAAGGGGGCGAGCGUUGUUCGGAAUCACUGGGCGUAAAGGGCGCGUAGGCGGCCCUUCUUGUCGCGUGUGAAAGCCCCGGGCUCAACCUGGGAACGGCGCGCGAGACGGGAGGGCUGGAGUUCGGGAGAGGAGCGUGGAAUUCCCAGUGUAGAGGUGAAAUUCGUAGAUAUUGGGAAGAACACCGGUGGCGAAGGCGGCAUCCUGGACCGAGAUUGACGCUGAUGCGCGAAAGCCAGGGGAGCAAACGGGG
Molecule: ribosomal RNA, 254 nt
Filed under: uncultured bacterium
Lineage: Bacteria
Description: partial 16S ribosomal RNA
Rfam family: Bacterial small subunit ribosomal RNA
Source: RNAcentral